UAGCCAUGCAUGUCUAAGUAUAAGCACUUGUACUGUGAAACUGCGAAUGGCUCAUUAAAUCAGUUAUCGUUUAUUUGAUUGUACCUUACUACAUGGAUACCUGUGGUAAUUCUAGAGCUAAUACAUGCGAAAAGUCCCAACUUCUGGAAGGGAUGUAUUUAUUAGAUUAAAAACCAAUGCAAGUCUUCGGGCUCGUUUUCUUGGUGAUUCAUGAUAACUUUUCGAAUCGCAUGGCCUAGAGCCGGCGAUACUUCAUUCAAAUUUCUGCCCUAUCAACUGUCGAUGGUAAGGUAGUGGCUUACCAUGGUUAUAACGGGUGACGGAGAAUUAGGGUUCGAUUCCGGAGAGGGAGCCUGAGAAACGGCUACCACAUCUAAGGAAGGCAGCAGGCUCGAAAAUUACCCAAUCCCGACUCGGGGAGGUAGUGACAAGAAAUAACGAUACGGGGUCUUAAUAGGUCUCGCAAUUGGAAUGAGUACAAUUUAAAUCCUUUAACGAGGAUCAAUUGGAGGGCAAGUCUGGUGCCAGCAGCCGCGGUAAUUCCAGCUCCAAUAGCGUAUAUUAAAGUUGUUGCAGUUAAAAAGCUCGUAGUUGGAUUUCGGAGUGGGCCAGUUGGUCCGCCGCAAGGUGUGUUACUGACUGGUUUGCUCUUCUUCGCAAAGACUGCGUGUGCUCUUGAGUGAGUGUGCGUAGAAUUUACGACGUUUACUUUGAAAAAAUUAGAGUGUUCAAAGCAGGCUAUUGCUUGAAUACAUGAGCAUGGAAUAAUGGAAUAGGACUUUGGUCCCAUUUUGUUGGUUUCUAGGGCCGAAGUAAUGAUUAAGAGGGACAAUUGGGGGCAUCCGUAUUUCGUUGUCAGAGGUGAAAUUCUUGGAUUUACGAAAGACGAACAACUGCGAAAGCACUUGCCAAGAGUGUUUUCAUUAAUCAAGACGAAAGUUAGGGGAUCGAGACGAUCAGAUACCGUCCUAGUCUUAACCAUAAACUAUGCCGACUAGAGAUGGGAGGCUGUUGCUUUUC
RNAcentral lists this ribosomal RNA (1020 nucleotides) under uncultured eukaryote. RNAcentral's name for it is "SSU rRNA". It matches the Rfam family "Eukaryotic small subunit ribosomal RNA", at positions 46 to 1071 of the family's 1831-position model. The record is from RNAcentral.